AAAAAACAAAAUGAUAAAUAAAACAUUUCAAAAGAAAUAAAAUGUACUUGAUUCAACGUCAAGUUUUUUUUUCCAAAUAAAACUCACACCAUUGCAACGUGAAUACUUGAUCCAACAUCACGUACUUACCAUCCAUUCCAUGAUCCAUGAUCCAUCUCUUCUCCAUUCUCUUCUCUACCUCAUUCUAUCUCUCUCCUCCAUUCUUCACAAACAUUUUUCACAAUAAAC
This 228-nucleotide long non-coding RNA is filed under the name Lathyrus oleraceus (garden pea). Its description in RNAcentral is "Pisum sativum (pea) long non-coding RNA (PSAT_LNC001749)". The record is from RNAcentral. Lineage: Eukaryota; Viridiplantae; Streptophyta; Magnoliopsida; Fabales; Fabaceae.